This 660-nucleotide long non-coding RNA is filed under the name Pongo abelii (Sumatran orangutan). RNAcentral describes it as "lincRNA". Lineage: Eukaryota; Metazoa; Chordata; Mammalia; Primates; Hominidae. The record is from RNAcentral.
UCCGCGCGAGCAGCUAGCCGGGCUGGCUCUCGGUGUGUGCCCUUCGGAUGGUCGGCUGGAGAGGGCAGCCAGCUGGACUUCUGUAGACAAGACAGAUACUGUAAAGACAGCAAAGAACAAACAGAAUGGCAGAUUGCUAAUGUUUGAUCCAAAGGAAAAAGUGAUGAUUGAAUCAAACAAAGCAAUGUCAGAGUAAGAAGAUGUUUUUGAUUGUGUAGCUGAUCUCUCCUAUGCCUUUUAAGCAAUUAGAACUAGAUAAUGCAGCCAUUUGUCACCCAAUUAAAUUUGAAAGGCCAGAAAUGCGUGGAUUAGCACUUCAGGUUUUGCUGCAGUCAAAGCAAUUGUUACUUAGAUAGAAGGACAGUUAAAAUGCAAAAUGAAUUUUGAUAAAAAUGUAGAAGUAUAGAUAAUAUUCACUUCUACUUUUUAAUGCUUAAACACCCUGUAUUCCAUAUUUUACUUGUAUCAUAAUUUUCAUUGCUCAUUCCUGUUUCCCUUUGAUACUUAUUUCUUUCACAAUAUUUCUUCAAGUGAAUAUGUACUUUAAAAUUAAACAAAUUAUUUACUAUAACAUGAAUUGUUACUACUCAAUAAAGAAAAUAAUCACCUCAACUAGUUGAAGAAACUGGUGUUAAAAAAACUGUAUUGUUUCCAGCCUUU